RNAcentral lists this long non-coding RNA (609 nucleotides) under Homo sapiens (human). Its description in RNAcentral is "HSALNT0368552". The record is from RNAcentral. Lineage: Eukaryota; Metazoa; Chordata; Mammalia; Primates; Hominidae.
CUUACCGCGAAGAGUCCCGCGAGGGCUUGGCACGGCCUCGCGUGUCGCUUUCCCACACGCGGUUGGCCGUGUCGUUGCCAAUAGCCGUCAGCACCAGGGUCAGCUCCCGUGGCCAGUCGUCCAAGUCCAGCGAGCGAACGCGGGACAGGUGUGUGCCCAGGUUGCGGUGGAUGCCAGAACACUCGAUGCAGAUGAGGGCGCCCAGGUUCAAGCUGUCCACGCAGAUUGAAUUCCCCUUGGCGUUCCGGAUCGCCUGGAUGGCCACGGCCUCGCUUUGGCUGUCUGUGCGCAGCUGCAGAGAGGGUUUGGGUUGGCACUGACUCUGCCUCCAAGCCCCACCUCCUUCUCAGACACCUCUGCUCUCCUCUCACACGACUUCGGCCGUGUCGUUGCCAAUGGCCGUCAGCACCAGGGUCAGUUCCUGCGGCCAGUCCUCCACUCCACCUCAAACUCUUACCUUGACCUUGCUGCUCUCACAGCAUUGCAGACUGGCUAGGAUCUGACUCUCGAUGGCCUGGACCCAGGCAUCCCGCUCCUCAAAACUGGCUGCCUCAAAGUGCCACGUCUGACCCGUGCUGGACACGAUCAGGAACUCAAAGUUUUCCUCUG